AUUGAACGCUGGCGGCAGGCCUAACACAUGCAAGUCGAACGGUAACAGGAAGAUGCUUGCUUCUUUGCUGACGAGUGGCGGACGGGUGAGUUAUGUCUGGGAAACUGCCUGAUGGAGGGGGUUAACUACUGGAAACGGUAGCUAAUACCGCAUAAUGUCGCAAGACCAAAGAGGGGGACCUUCGGGCCUCUUGCCAUCGGCUGUGCCCAGAUGGGAUUAGCUAGUAGGUGGGGUAACGGCUCACCUAGGCGACGAUCCCUAGCUGGUCUGAGAGGAUGACCAGCCACACUGGAACUGAGACACGGUCCAGACUCCUACGGGAGGCAGCAGUGGGGAAUAUUGCACAAUGGGCGAAAGCCUGAUGCAGCGAUGCCGCGUGUAUGAAGAAGGCCUUCGGGUUGUAAAGUACUUUCAGCGGGGAGGAAGGGAGUAAAGUUAAUACCUUGGCUCAUUGACGUUACCCGCAGAAGAAGCACCGGCUAACUCCGUG
RNAcentral lists this ribosomal RNA (490 nucleotides) under uncultured bacterium. RNAcentral describes it as "partial 16S ribosomal RNA". It matches the Rfam family "Bacterial small subunit ribosomal RNA", at positions 30 to 507 of the family's 1533-position model. The record is from RNAcentral.